CGCCCCGCAAGGGGAGUGGCAGACGGGUGAGUAACGCGUGUGGAAUCUACCCUUUUCUACGGAACAACUGAGGGAAACUUCAGCUAAUACCGUAUACGGCCGAGACGGCGAAAGAUUUAUCGGAGAAGGAUGAGCCCGCGUUGGAUUAGCUAGUUGGUGGGGUAAAGGCCUACCAAGGCGACGAUCCAUAGCUGGUCUGAGAGGAUGAUCAGCCACACUGGGACUGAGACACGGCCCAGACUCCUACGGGAGGCAGCAGUGGGGAAUAUUGGACAAUGGGCGCAAGCCUGAUCCAGCCAUGCCGCGUGAGUGAUGAAGGCCCUAGGGUUGUAAAGCUCUUUCACCGGUGAAGAUAAUGACGGUAACCGGAGAAGAAGCCCCGGCUAACUUCGUGCCAGCAGCCGCAGUAAUACGAAGGGGGCUGCGUUGUUCGGAUUUCUGGGCGUAAGCGCACGUGGCGGACUAUUAAGUCAGGGGUGAAUCCCGGGGCUCAACCCCUGAACUGCCUUUGAACUGGUGUCUUGAGUUCGAGAGAGGGAGUGGAUUCCGAGUGUGAGGUGAAAUUCGUAUAUUUCUGAGGAACCCAGUGGCAAGGCCGCUCACUGGCUCGAUACUGACGCUGACGUGCAAAGCGUGGGGAGAAACAGGAUUAGAUCCCUGGUAUCCACGCCGUAACUAUGACAGCUAUCCGUCUGGCAGAUACUGUUCUGUGGCUCAGCUGACGCAUUAAGCUCUCGACCUGUGGAGUACGGUCGCCAGAUUAAAACUCUAAUGACUUGACGGUG
This 785-nucleotide ribosomal RNA is filed under the name uncultured Alphaproteobacteria bacterium. RNAcentral's name for it is "bacterial SSU rRNA". It matches the Rfam family "Bacterial small subunit ribosomal RNA", at positions 67 to 918 of the family's 1533-position model. The record is from RNAcentral. Lineage: Bacteria; Pseudomonadati; Pseudomonadota; Alphaproteobacteria.